RNAcentral lists this ribosomal RNA (870 nucleotides) under Dermateaceae sp. RNAcentral describes it as "partial 28S ribosomal RNA". It matches the Rfam family "Eukaryotic large subunit ribosomal RNA", at positions 56 to 952 of the family's 3401-position model. Lineage: Eukaryota; Fungi; Ascomycota; Leotiomycetes; Helotiales; Dermateaceae. The record is from RNAcentral.
GAGAGACAACAGGGAUUACCUCAGUAACGGCGAGUGAAGCGGUAACAGCUCAAAUUUGAAAUCUGGGUCUUUCAGGCUCCGAGUUGUAAUUUGUAGAAGAUGCUUUGGGUGCGGCCCCGGUCUAAGUUCCUUGGAACAGGGCGUCAUAGAGGGUGAGAAUCCCGUAUGUGAUCGGUGGCUUGCGCCCGUGUAAAGCUCUUUCGACGAGUCGGGUUGUUUGGGAAUGCAGCUCUAAAUGGGUGGUAAAUUUCAUCUAAAGCUAAAUAUUGGCCAGAGACCGAUAGCGCACAAGUAGAGUGAUCGAAAGAUGAAAAGCACUUUGGAAAGAGAGUUAAACAGUACGUGAAAUUGUUGAAAGGGAAGCGCUUGCAACCAGACUUGCGCGGGGUUGAUCAUCCGGGGUUCUCCCCGGUGCACUCGGCCUCGCUCAGGCCAGCAUCGGUUUCGGUGGUUGGAUAAAGGCCUUGGGAAUGUGACUCCUUUCGGGGAGUGUUAUAGCCCUCGGUGCAAUGCAGCCUACCGGGACCGAGGACCGCGCUUCGGCUAGGAUGCUGGCGUAAUGGUUGUAAGCGACCCGUCUUGAAACACGGACCAAGGAGUCUAACAUCUAUGCGAGUGUUUGGGUGUCAAACCCAUACGCGUAAUGAAAGUGAACGGAGGUGAGAACCCUUAAGGGUGCAUCAUCGACCGAUCCUGAUGUCUUCGGAUGGAUUUGAGUAAGAGCAUAGCUGUUGGGACCCGAAAGAUGGUGAACUAUGCCUGAAUAGGGUGAAGCCAGAGGAAACUCUGGUGGAGGCUCGCAGCGGUUCUGACGUGCAAAUCGAUCGUCAAAUUUGGGUAUAGGGGCGAAAGACUAAUCGACCAUCAGCC